Molecule: long non-coding RNA, 206 nt
Filed under: Mytilus galloprovincialis (Mediterranean mussel)
Lineage: Eukaryota; Metazoa; Mollusca; Bivalvia; Mytilida; Mytilidae
Source: RNAcentral
CUUCAUACAUAAAAAAUCGUCAUUUGAAAGAUGAAAUUAGGUGCCAUGAGAUUGCAAGAAUGCAGGAUUUUGGUCUAUUUAUGCCAGAGCUUCUGGAGGCCUUGAGCGGCCCAGACCAUCUGCCGUAAGGCGCUCUCGGGCACUUUUUAGUAGGAACGAUAAAAGUUUCAUCCUCCAUAAAACUUCAUGUCGAUUGUGUCAACAGC